Long non-coding RNA from Gymnodraco acuticeps, 3926 nucleotides. RefSeq lists it as uncharacterized. NCBI's taxonomy places the organism in Eukaryota, Metazoa, Chordata, Actinopteri, Perciformes, Bathydraconidae. The transcript has 2 exons. The record is from RefSeq and is a predicted model, not a curated record.
GCACACAUUUGAAAUCAGUAGGCGAGGCUGUAAUUUUGCCAGCUGUUACUCUCAUGAGCGAGGCAGAAAAUAAUAGUUUUAACAUGCCAAAAAGCUGCUGUGUCGUUUAUUGCUGUAACGACUGAAUGAACACAAGUGGAGGACUCAAUAGCAUGACUCAGAGACAGAGGAUUAGGAUGUAAAAAAGGUCUUUAUAUCCAAGGUUCGGUACACGGGAGAUCAGUCAAUAAGGCUAACAAAACAGACGAGGAGUAGACAGGAACCGGGUCAGGACACGAAGCUGGGUGGAGCUUGUUGUCCUUCUUUGACCUUUGAGAGAUGACUGCCCCAACGCCCACAUCUGAAGCGUCCACCUCGACUACAAACUGCUGAAGUGGGUCAGGAAGUGUGAGAAUAGGGGCUGAAGUGAAGCUCCUCUUAAGCCUCCGGAAAGCCUGUUCUGCUAGGGGGGACCACUGGAACUUCACCUUGAGGGAGGUUAAAGCAUGCAGUGGGGCAGCCACAGAACUAUAGUUUCUGAUGAAACGUCUGUAGAAAUUGGCAAAGCCCAAAAAUCGUUGCAUGAGUUUCUGAUUGGAAGGUGUAGGCCACUCAGUGACUGCACUGACCUUUGAUGGGUCCAUCUGAAUGCUGUUCUCCGAAAUGACAAAUCCUAGGAAAGAAACGGUGGAGACGUGGAACUCGCACUUCUCUGCCUUCACAAAGAGUAGAUUAACCAAGAGACGCUGCAACACCUGGCGGACAUGUUGAAUGUGGGUCGUCUCAUCCGGAGAAAAGAUGAGAAUGUCGUCGAGGUAGACAAAAACAAACUGGUUGAGCAUGUCACGGAGAACAUCAUUACAGCAUUGGUUAACCCAAAUGGCAUUACGAGGUAUUCGUAAUGGCCACAAGGGGUGUUGAAAGCAGUCUUCCAUUCAUCCCCCUCCCUUAUCCUUACCAAAUGAUAAGCAUUUCGAAGAUCAAGUUUAUUAAAAAUCUUUGCAUCCUGUAAUAGUUCAAAUGCUGAAGAGAUAAGAGGAAGGGGGUACCUGUUAUUUAUGGUAAUGUCAUUUAGCCCUCUGUAGUCGACACAUGGACGAAGAGUCUUAUCCUUCUUGUCGACGAAGAAGAAGCCUGCUCCAGCCGGAGAGGAGGAAGGCCGAAUUAUCCCGGCAGCAAGGGAGGAGUCAAUGUAUCUCUUCAUUGUUUCCCUUUCGGGGCCAGACAGGGAGUAGAGAUGUCCCUUAGAGGGAGAGCUCCCAGGGAACAAGUCAAUGGAGCAGUCAUAGGGUCAAUGGGGAGGCAGGGUGGAAGCACGAGUCUUAUUGAAAACCUCCUUCAGGUCCCGGUAACAGGUGGGCACCCUGCUAAGAUCCGGAAAAUCAGAGUCUGCUGCAGCUUGGAGAGGGGUAGAGACAGCAGUAGUCAGGGCAACAGUCACAUGGGUGGAGGGCAGAGGUCUCUCUGGAGCAGGGGCGGAAGGGAAACAUGUGGCCAAACAAUCCUUAUGCCAACCCAAAACUCUCCCGGUGGACCAGUCCAUGUGGGGAUUGUGUUUUACCAGCCAUGGGUAGCCCAAAAUAAGAGGGUGUGAAGGAGAGUUAAAAAGAUGAAAACUCAGGGAUUCAGUGUGGCCGUUAGCGAUGAUUAGUUGAAGGGGCCGAGUACGGUGAGGGACUCGGCACAAUAAACGUCCAUCCAGAGCCUUUGCUACAAGAGGCCUCAACAGGGGAACAAAAUUAAGUCCAAGUCUCUUGGCUAAUCUCCAAUCAAUGAAACUCUUAUCUGCUCCUGAGUCAAUUCGAGCAGCAUGCGACAAAGUCUGAGUAGGAGUAAUUAGCUGAGCAGAGGUGAGAGUACGAGAGGGACAAAAAGAAACAGUUCGGCUCACCAGGACCCUCCUACUUACUGAUGAGCCUGGUCUUUUACUGGGCAUCUGGCUACAAAGUGACCCCUCUGUGAGCAGUAAAUGCACCUCCCCUCCCGUAGGCGGCGCUGGCACUCCUCAGGAGUCAGCUUUGCCCUUCCCAACUGCAUGGGUUCCUCCUGGGCAGUAGGCGGCGCUGGAGAAUCAGUCGUCUGGAAACGCUGCUUGGGGAAAAAAGGACUGGCCUGAGACUGCCCUCUCUGGCCGGGCGGAGAAAACACAGCUCUCGACUUCUCCCUUUCUCUCUCUACGAGGCGAGUGUCAAUUCUUAUUGCCAUAGCAAUGAAACUAUCCAGGUCAGAGGGAAGCUCUAGAGGAGCCAACUGGUCCUUGAUGGGGCCAGACAGCCCAUGGCGAAAAGCGUCGAAGAGGGAUGAAUCAUUCCAGCCGCUGUCUGCAGACAAAGUGCGGAACUCCACGGCGUAGUCGGAGACACGUCUCCCUCUCUGGUGUAAAUCCAUUAGAGCUCUCGCUGCUUCCCUGCCUGGAGUUGUGUGAUCAAAUACUUUGCUUAAAGUCUCUGUAAAACCUCUCAGGGAAUUACAGACUGGGGAAUCUCGAGCCCACUCCGCCGUAGCCCAUGCCUCCGCUCUGCCGGUGAGGUGGGAAACGAUGUAGGCUACCUUAGCCCGUUCAGACUGGAAGGAAGAUGCUUGCAGCUCGAAGUGCAACCCACACUGGACCAGGAACGCACAACAGUUAUCCGAGUCUCCGGAAAAACACUCUGGUCUGGAGAGGUGAGGAACCGAAGGCAGCGGUGUCGGCACGGUGGCAGGAACAGGACCGGGAGCUGUAGCCGGAUCUGACGCUUGAAGCGGAGUAGCAGAGCGUUGUGGAUUGAGAUGUGCCACCAGCUGCUGGAUCUGAUCUGCCAGCUGGCAAACCUGGCUGCCGAUGGAUGACUGGAAACCCUCGUGCCGCUCUGACAAUUCUCUUACUCCCUGGCAGACAGCGGUAAGUUGUUCAUCUUGCAGGUUAAGACGAGCCCCCUGGGAUCGAAUAGCGGACCGCAAAAUCUCCGAGUCGGCUGAGUCCAUGGUUCUGGCCAGUUCGUACUGUAACGACUGAAUGAACACAAGUGGAGGACUCAAUAGCACGACUCAGAGACAGAGGAUUAGGAUGCAAAAAAGGUCUUUAUAUCCAAGGUUCGGUACACGGGAGAUCAGUCAAUAAGGCUAACAAAACAGACGAGGAGUAGACAGGAACCGGGUCAGGACACGAAGCUGGGUCAGGUACACGUGGAAUCAGAUACUACGAAAAACACUGCUGGAACUCUAGGAAUAACUAAGACGAACUGGCACUGAAGGGACUGUGGAUGCAGACUAAGGCCCAAUCCCAAACCACUCCCUCGACCCUCCCCCUCCGUGACGGAGUGAACUCCGUCUGUAGGCACACUCACAGCUGAAUGAAGUUCCCUCCAUUAAGGGUUAAGGGUAAAAAUACAGCGGCAAGCUUUGGGACGGCCUCCCCUCUCUCCGCAGGAAACGGAAACGGACGUCAUGGUGUCCAACUCACAUCUCCAUCUGUCGGCUGCAUUGACCUGCGUUGCUAUCCGUCGCCUGUUAGCGGGUGCAAUGGCAAGAUCCAACAGAAGGCGCAGAAGGUUGAAGCGCAUUUUAGCGAUGUGCCAGUGGCAGCGCUGGAGGUCAGUCCAAGCUUUGCCCCUGACAUCAUUGCAUGUUGUGCAUUUCUGUGCAUAGACAUGAACGAUGUCCUUGAGGAUGCUGAAGCCUUCCCCCCUGAAGAUGGGGACCAGAUUCCGCAGCAUGUGGACAGGAAAGUCCUGGACACCACCUAAGGAACAGGAUUGCUGCACAACUCUCUGCUCCUGUCCAAAUGGCACCACACCAGAGAGAAUGAACUUUGUUUUUUUUUGGAAAAACGUGGUUGUCUGUUAACUUGUGUUUUUGAAAUGAUGUGCACACAUACCUGAUUAAUUUUGUUUGUUUUAGUGAGCUCCACUUCUCACUUUAGAGAAAAGAGGUGAAAUAAAAUAAACCUGUGCACCGUUGAUUUCAAA